GGGAAAGUGGUCUAGCUUGGUAUGAUACUUGACUGGGGGUCAAGUGGUCGGGUGUUCGAAUCAUCCCUUUCCCACCA
RNAcentral lists this transfer RNA (77 nucleotides) under Promethearchaeota archaeon. RNAcentral's name for it is "tRNA-Pro". It matches the Rfam family "tRNA". From Rfam's summary of the family: Transfer RNA (tRNA) molecules are approximately 80 nucleotides in length. Their secondary structure includes four short double-helical elements and three loops (D, anti-codon, and T loops). The record is from RNAcentral. Lineage: Archaea; Promethearchaeati; Promethearchaeota. RNAcentral also lists the same sequence under 1 other name.